AUUGAACGCUGGCGGCAUGCCUUACACAUGCAAGUCGAACGGUAACAGGUCUUCGGAUGCUGACGAGUGGCGAACGGGUGAGUAAUACAUCGGAACGUGCCCGAUCGUGGGGGAUAACGAAGCGAAAGCUUUGCUAAUACCGCAUAAGAUCUAAGGAUGAAAGCAGGGGACCGCAAGGCCUUGCGCGAACGGAGCGGCCGAUGGCAGAUUAGGUAGUUGGUGGGAUAAAAGCUUACCAAGCCGACGAUCUGUAGCUGGUCUGAGAGGACGACCAGCCACACUGGGACUGAGACACGGCCCAGACUCCUACGGGAGGCAGCAGUGGGGAAUUUUGGACAAUGGGCGAAAGCCUGAUCCAGCCAUGCCGCGUGCAGGAUGAAGGCCUUCGGGUUGUAAACUGCUUUUGUACGGAACGAAAAGACUCUUUCCAAUAAAGAGGGUCCAUGACGGUACCGUAAGAAUAAGCACCGGCUAACUACGUGCCAGCAGCAGCCGCAG
Molecule: ribosomal RNA, 498 nt
Filed under: uncultured bacterium
Lineage: Bacteria
Description: partial 16S ribosomal RNA
Rfam family: Bacterial small subunit ribosomal RNA
Source: RNAcentral